This 275-nucleotide ribosomal RNA is filed under the name uncultured prokaryote. RNAcentral's name for it is "partial 16S ribosomal RNA". It matches the Rfam family "Bacterial small subunit ribosomal RNA", at positions 524 to 797 of the family's 1533-position model. The record is from RNAcentral.
UACGUAGGUGGCAAGCGUUGUCCGGAUUUACUGGGUGUAAAGGGCGUGUAGGCGGGAAGGCAAGUCAGAUGUGAAAGCCCAUGGCUUAACUGUGGAACUGCAUCUGAAACUGUUUUUCUUGAGUACUGGAGAGGAAAGUGGAAUUCCUAGUGUAGCGGUGAAAUGCGUGGAGAUUAGGAGGAACACCAGUGGCGAAGGCGGCUUUCUGGACAGUAACUGACGCUGAGGCGCGAAAGCGUGGGGAGCAAACAGGAUUAGAUACCCCCGUACGUCCU